Molecule: ribosomal RNA, 440 nt
Filed under: uncultured bacterium
Lineage: Bacteria
Description: partial 16S ribosomal RNA
Rfam family: Bacterial small subunit ribosomal RNA
Source: RNAcentral
CCUACGAGAGGCAGCAGUAGGGAAUAUUGCUCCAUGGGGGAAACCCUGAAGCAGCAACGCCGCGUGGAGGAUGAAGGUUUUCGGAUUGUAAACUCCUUUUGUUAGAGAAGAUAAUGACGGUAUCUAACGAAUAAGCACCGGCUAACUCCGUGCCAGCAACCACGGUAAUAAGGAGGGUUCAAGCGUUACUCGGAAUCACGGAGCGUACAGAGCGCGUAGGCGGGGUAGCAAGUCAGAUGUGAAAUCAUAUGGCUUAACCAUAGAACUGCAUUCGAAACUGUUAUUCUAGAGUAUGGGAGAGGUAGGUGGACUGCUUGGUGUAGGGGUAAAAUCCGUAGAGAUCAAGAGGAAUACUCAUUGCGAAGGCGACCUGCUAGAACAUAACUGACGCUGAUGCGCGAAAGCGUGGGGAGCAAACAGGAUUAGAUACCCUGGUAGUC